CCAAGAUAGUAGUGCUUAUAAUAGAACUGGACUGAUAUUGAUCAAGAUUAGCAUAGCCCCUGUGUAAAGAUAACACCCAAAGUUGUGAACUCUUCCAUAUUUUA
Molecule: small nuclear RNA, 104 nt
Organism: Vombatus ursinus (common wombat)
Lineage: Eukaryota; Metazoa; Chordata; Mammalia; Diprotodontia; Vombatidae
Source: Ensembl